RNAcentral lists this ribosomal RNA (253 nucleotides) under uncultured bacterium. Its description in RNAcentral is "partial 16S ribosomal RNA". It matches the Rfam family "Bacterial small subunit ribosomal RNA", at positions 524 to 776 of the family's 1533-position model. The record is from RNAcentral.
UACGGGGGGGGCAAGCGUUGUUCGGAAUUACUGGGCGUAAAGGGCGAGUAGGUGGCCAUCUAAGUCAGACGUGAAAUCCCCCGGCUUAACCUGGGAACUGCGUCUGAUACUGGACGGCUCGAGUAUGGGAGAGGGAGGUAGAAUUCCAGGUGUAGCGGUGAAAUGCGUAGAUAUCUGGAGGAAUACCGGUGGCGAAGGCGGCCUCCUGGACCAUUACUGACACUGAUCCGCGAAAGCUAGGGGAGCAAACGGG